UAGGGGAUUCACCGUCAGUGCUUAGUGGCGAAUGGGUGAGUAACAGGUGGGCGAUCUACCGUGCAUCUGGGACAAGCCCUGGAAACGGGGUCUAAUACCGGAUAUGACCGUCUUGGGCAUCCUUGACGGUGUAAAGCUCCGGCGGUGCAGGAUGAGCCCGCGGCCUAUCAGCUUGUUGGUGAGGUAACGGCUCACCAAGGCGACGACGGGUAGCCGGCCUGAGAGGGCGACCGGCCACACUGGGACUGAGACACGGCCCAGACUCCUACGGGAGGCAGCAGUGGGGAAUAUUGCACAAUGGGCGAAAGCCUGAUGCAGCGACGCCGCGUGAGGGAUGACGGCCUUCGGGUUGUAAACCUCUUUCAGCAGGGAAGAAGCGAGAGUGACGGUACCUGCAGAAGAAGCGCCGGCUAACUACGUGCCAGCAGCCGCGGUAAUACGUAGGGCGCAAGCGUUGUCCGGAAUUAUUGGGCGUAAAGAGCUCGUAGGCGGCUUGUCACGUCGGUUGUGAAAGCCCGGGGCUUAACCCCGGGUCUGCAGUCGAUACGGGCAGGCUAGAGUUCGGUAGGGGAGAUCGGAAUUCCUGGUGUAGCGGUGAAAUGCGCAGAUAUCAGGAGGAACACCGGUGGCGAAGGCGGAUCUCUGGGCCGAUACUGACGCUGAGGAGCGAAAGCGUGGGGAGCGAACAGGAUUAGAUACCCUGGUAGUCCACGCCGUAUACGGUGGGCACUAGGUGUGGGCAACAUUCCACGUUGUCCGUGCCGCAUCUAACGCAGUAAGUGCCCCGCCUGGGGAGUACGGCCGCAAAGCUAAACUCACAGGAAUUGACGGGGCCCGCACUAG
RNAcentral lists this ribosomal RNA (843 nucleotides) under Streptomyces malaysiense. RNAcentral describes it as "bacterial SSU rRNA". It matches the Rfam family "Bacterial small subunit ribosomal RNA", at positions 73 to 929 of the family's 1533-position model. The record is from RNAcentral. Lineage: Bacteria; Bacillati; Actinomycetota; Actinomycetes; Kitasatosporales; Streptomycetaceae.